AGAACCCGCGUGGGAGAGACCUCGACGAACUGGUCGAGGCGCCGAAGGGGCAAGCUCCCGCACACUCUCAGGCAGCAAGACCACCCGGGGUAG
This 93-nucleotide non-coding RNA is filed under the name Lentzea albidocapillata. RNAcentral's name for it is "Glycine sequence". It matches the Rfam family "Glycine riboswitch aptamer". Rfam says of the family: This family represents the bacterial glycine riboswitch. Glycine riboswitches usually consist of two metabolite-binding aptamers domains with similar structures in tandem. The record is from Rfam by way of RNAcentral. Lineage: Bacteria; Bacillati; Actinomycetota; Actinomycetes; Pseudonocardiales; Pseudonocardiaceae.